Molecule: long non-coding RNA, 445 nt
Organism: Pan troglodytes (chimpanzee)
Lineage: Eukaryota; Metazoa; Chordata; Mammalia; Primates; Hominidae
Exons: 2
Source: RefSeq, a predicted model, not a curated record
GGCGUUCCGGGCCCCGCGCGCCGCGCCCAUGCCCCGCCCCCAGCCGGCCCGAGGCCCGGACUCCGACCCGCUGCCCGCGAGGGUGCGUGUGGAGGUGCGCCCCGCCGGAGUCCGGCCUUGUGCGCGCCAACCGCCCCCCGCCCACGGCGCGGAGCACCUCUGGUCUCCCCACUUGAACGGCGGGCCGCGCCGGCCCAUGAGGAAAGCGGGGUGCGGAGCUCGCCCCCUGCCGGAGGAUGCGCUCCGCCGGCGGGCACCCUGCGGGGACCACAGCCGGACGCCAGAAGUGACCUGACCGUGAAUGUGCGCUUUGCGUGCAGUCAUUGCAUCGUCGCAGGCCUAGGAGACAGAUGAAGAGAUGGCUCUUAAGGAAAUUCUCGGUUAUAUUGAAAAAUCCAGAAGCUCUGAAGAUACCAGUCAAAUAAAAUCACACCCUAUAACUCUA